UGACAAACUACCUUUGAUCCGGGAAUAUCCGAAUGGGGCAACCCCUUCGACGUUAGUCGAAGAGUUUCCAAUCUUCUACUUGGCUAUUAAUAAGUAGGACGCGGUCUUAACAAAAUAAGAAGACAAGCGUUUAAAGUAUCUUGCGAUGUUAAUAGUCAGAUGGAAGAUUGGGAACUGGGAACCUGUCGAACUGAAACAUCUUAGUAGACAGAGGAAAAGAAAUCAAAUAGAGAUUCCGUAAGUAGCGGCGAGCGAACGCGGAAAAGCCUUAAUUAUUUACAGAUUUAUAUAAUUAGUUGAAUGUCCCUGGAAAGGGCGACCAUAGAGGGUGAUAGUCCUGUAAACGAAAAUUAUAUAAAUUUAUGAAAAUAGUUCGUUCCGACGUUUCGUCGGAAUAGAAAGUAGGUCUAGACACGUGAAAUCUAGACUGAAGAAUCUCGUCUUCGGACGAGAGUAGGUGGAUCAUCAUCUAAGGCUAAAUACUUUUUAUGACCGAUAGUGAACUAGUACCGUGAGGGAAAGGUGAAAAGUACCCCGUAGCGGGGAGUGAAAUAGUACCUGAAACCAUAUACUUACAAGGAGUCAGAGACGUUUGUCAUUUAUGAUAGACGUUCAUGGCGUGCCUUUUGAAGAAUGAGCCAACGAGUUAAUGCUUGUAGUUUGCCGAAGUACUUCUGGUACGAAGGCCGAGCGAAAGCGAGUAGUAAAUCUGCGUUUAUUGCAAGUAUUAGACCCGAAACCGGGUGAUCUAUCCAUGAUCAGGAUGAACCUUACCUAACAGUAAGGGGAGGUCCGAACCCACGUCAGUUACAAAUGGCGGGGAUGAAUUGUGGAUAGGGGAGAAAUUCCAAUCGAACCCGGAGAUAGCUGGUUCUCCUCGAAAUAUAUUUUGGUAUAGCCUCAUGCGCAACCCUGGGGGUAGAGCACUGAAUGGAACGUACAGGAGUAAUCCUGUGCUUCUUAUCAAACUUCGAAUACCAGGCGUUAGGCAUUGGGAGUCAGUCCGUGAGGGCUAAGCUUCAUUGGACAAAAGGGAAACAACCCAGACCGUCAUCUAAGGUCCCUAAAUUGUAGCUAAGUGGGAAAGGAAGUGUUUAAGCUCAGACAACUAGGAGGUUGGCUUAGAAGCAGCCAUCCUUUAAAGAAAGCGUAACAGCUCACUAGUCAAGGUUGAAUGCGCCGAAAAUUUAACGGGGCUAAAGCUACAUACCGAAGAUACGGGAAUCGUGCAUGGCAUAGAGUUUUUAAUAUUUUUAAAGACUGUGUGCUGUGUGCGGUUCGGUAGAGGAGCGUUCUAAAUGCGCUGAAGCCAAAGAUGUAAAUCAUGGUGGAGCGUUUAGAAGUGAGAAUGUUGGCACAAGUACACGAAUUAGGCAGACGAGAAAUCUGCCCACCAAAAAUCCAAGGUUUCCCGGGCAACGAUAAUCGGCCCGGGGUUAGUCGGUCCUAACCUAUUUUAAUGGGGAUGGCCAGCAGGUUGAUAUUCCUGCACUUUCAAAAACUUACCUUUAUCCGACUCUUUUUCAAGCUUGAUAGCUCAUAUGGUUAUGGUCUAUUGGGGGCGAAAGAGACAAGAAAAAGAUAAAGUCAAUUAUUUUUGGAAACCGUACCGCAAACCGACGCAGGUGGAUGGGGUGAGAAUCCUAAGGUGAUCGAGCGAACCCUCGUUAAGGAACUCGGCAAAAAAGCGUCCGUAACUUCGGGAUAAGGGCUGCCCACAACUCGCAAGAGUGGGUGGGCCGCAGCAAACGUUUUUCAGGCGACUGUUUACCAAAAACACAGGUCUCUGCAAACCCAUCGUGGGGAAGUAUAGGGGCUGACGCCUGUCCAGUGCUAGAAGGUUAUGGGAAUAGUUGAUUUUAUCUUCGGAUAAAUGAGGCUUGAACUUAAGCCCUAGUGAACGACAGCGAUAACUAUAAUCGUUCUAAGGUAGCGAAAUUCCUUGUCGGGUAAGUUCCGACCCGCAUCAAUGGCGUAACGGUCUGAAAACUGUCUCAACGAGG
Molecule: ribosomal RNA, 2003 nt
Filed under: bioreactor sludge metagenome
Description: bacterial LSU rRNA
Rfam family: Bacterial large subunit ribosomal RNA
Source: RNAcentral